Molecule: long non-coding RNA, 558 nt
Filed under: Bos taurus (domestic cattle)
Lineage: Eukaryota; Metazoa; Chordata; Mammalia; Artiodactyla; Bovidae
Description: long non-coding RNA NONBTAT019602
Source: RNAcentral
AAUAAUAUAGGUUAGCAGUUCAUUCAGAAUCUUCUGCUGAAAGUCACAAAUCUAGAAGCUGCAUGUUGUUUCAGAGUCAGCUCAUAUGUUCCUUAACUAAGUCCAAAGAUUCAAGCAGUAGACAUGACCAGAACCAAUGGCCUGUGAUUUGUUUCUUUCAUUCGCUGUGUAGCCAGAAGGGUCUGCGCCAGUAUCUUGGAUGAGACGAAUGUUUGCUCCACAGAGGAGAUGACGAGGGCUGUGUAGAUAUACAGAUGUAUUCAUAUAUAUCAUUCUUCAGUCCCCGACGUUGGUUCUUAAUGGAACCUGAUUUUCUCACUUCCUUUAGAAGGUCCAUGAUAUUCAGUGGACCACUUGCUCUAGGAGGUCCCUUGCAAGUAAAAUCCUGCUUAAAAUCUGGUUUCUUCAGGACUUCACCACUAUUUUGUUAAAUUUCUCAAUCGUAUACUGCCCCAGGGGCUUGAUUUUCUCCAGAUAAUGGCUCUAUCAUGCUUAUAGCCUGAUUCUGUCAGCAUGUGUCAUUGGCAAAAUAGCUUUGACUGCCAAAGCUUUCUGACC